Molecule: non-coding RNA, 70 nt
Organism: Danionella cerebrum
Lineage: Eukaryota; Metazoa; Chordata; Actinopteri; Cypriniformes; Danionidae
Source: the annotation of a GenBank genome assembly
AUUCCCGUGGCUCAGUCAGUAGAGCAUUGUGCUACCAGCUCAAAGGUCAAGGGUUCAAACCCCAGGAAAA